CGAGCACGCGCGUGUGGCAUAUCAAUAAGCGGAGGAAAAGAAAUCUAACAAGGAUUCCCUUAGUAACGGCGAGUGAAGCGGGAAGAGCUCAGAUUUGAAAUCUUCAAGGUUCUACCUUGACGAAUUGUAGUUUAUAAGAAGUGUUUUCUGUUAGUGGAGUGGCUAAAAGUUCUUUGGAAUAGGACAUCAUAGAGGGUGAGAAUCCCGUAUUUGGUCAUUCCUCCUAGCGUUGUGAUACACUUUCAACGAGUCGGAUUGUUUGGGAAUGCAGUCCAAAAUGGGUGGUAAAUUUCAUCUAAAGCUAAAUAUUGGCGAGAGACCGAUAGCGAACAAGUACCGUGAGGGAAAGAUGAAAAGAACUUUGAAAAGAGAGUUAAACAGUACGUGAAAUUGUCAAAAGGGAAGCGUUUGACACCAGUGUUGUUUUUCCGAAAAUCAAUUACGAAUGUUUUGUUUUUAAGGAGUUAUGACUUCAUCGGCUUGCUCCUUUCUUUAUGAAACUUUCUUAAUGCACUUUUCGGUUAACAAGUCAACAUCAAUUUCUUUUGUUGUAAAAGGGUAUGAGGAAGGUGGCUUUCUUUUCGGAGAAAGUGUUUAUAGCCUUGUGCCUCUGCAAUCGGAGAGAUUGAGGUCUGCAGCGUAGAUCCUUCGGGGUUAGAUACAUUUGUGCUAAGUUAUAGCUUUUCAUAGACAACUUGUUGACUAUGUUUAGUCUUGUAGCUUACUCGCUUAUGCUAUUUUACCUACGCUUAGGAUGUUGAGCGCAUGUCUCUCUCU
This 777-nucleotide ribosomal RNA is filed under the name uncultured Neocallimastigales. RNAcentral's name for it is "partial large subunit ribosomal RNA". It matches the Rfam family "Eukaryotic large subunit ribosomal RNA", at positions 19 to 616 of the family's 3401-position model. The record is from RNAcentral. Lineage: Eukaryota; Fungi; Neocallimastigomycota; Neocallimastigomycetes; Neocallimastigales.